UAAGAGCAACUACAUUUUCCCCAGAUUGAA
Molecule: small RNA, 30 nt
Filed under: Bombyx mori (domestic silkworm)
Lineage: Eukaryota; Metazoa; Arthropoda; Insecta; Lepidoptera; Bombycidae
Description: piRNA piR-bmo-2145060
Source: RNAcentral